CCUCGGGUGGCAGCAGUAGGGAAUCUUCCACAAUUGGCGAAAGCCUGAUGGAGCAACGCCGCGUGGGUGAAGAAGGUCUUCGGAUCUUAAAACCCUGUUGUUAGAGAAGAAAGUGCGUGAGAGUAACUGUUCACGUUUCGACGGUAUCUAACCAGAAAGCCACGGCUAACUACGUGCCAGCAGCCGCGGUAAUACGUAGGUGGCAAGCGUUAUCCGGAUUUAUUGGGCGUAAAGGGAGCGCAGGAGUCCUGUUAAGUCUGAUGUGAAAGCCUUGGGCUUAACCGGAGUAGUGCAUUGGAAACUGGGAGACUUGAGUGCAGAAGAGGAGAGUGGAACUCCAUGUGUAGCGGUGAAAUGCGUAGAUAUAUGGAAGAACACCAGUGGCGAAGGCGGAUCUCUGGUCGGUAACUGACGCUGAGGUUCGAAAGCGUGGGUAGCAAACAGGAUUAGAUACCCCAGUAGUC
Molecule: ribosomal RNA, 464 nt
Filed under: uncultured bacterium
Lineage: Bacteria
Description: partial 16S ribosomal RNA
Rfam family: Bacterial small subunit ribosomal RNA
Source: RNAcentral